ACCUUCGUGGUGUAACUGAAAGCAUGUCCGACGCAUAAUCGGGAAGUUUGGGGUUCAAAUCCCAGCAAGGGCA
This 73-nucleotide transfer RNA is filed under the name Stegodyphus mimosarum. It matches the Rfam family "tRNA". From Rfam's summary of the family: Transfer RNA (tRNA) molecules are approximately 80 nucleotides in length. Their secondary structure includes four short double-helical elements and three loops (D, anti-codon, and T loops). Lineage: Eukaryota; Metazoa; Arthropoda; Arachnida; Araneae; Eresidae. The record is from Rfam by way of RNAcentral.